AUGCAAGUCGAACGAAGUAGCAAUACUUAGUGGCAGACGGGUGAGUAACAUGUAGGUAUCUACCCUAUGGCCUGGAAUAACACGAGGAAACUUGUGCUAAUACUGGAUAAGUCUUUACGGAGAAAGCUUUAUGCACCAUUGGAUGAGCCUGCACUUGAUUAGUUUGUUGGUAGGGUAAUGGCCUACCAAGACUGUGAUCAAUAGCUGAUUUGAGAGGAUGAUCAGCCACAUUGGGACUGAGACACGGCCCAAACUCCUACGGGAGGCAGCAGUGGGGAAUCUUGCACAAUGGAGGAAACUCUGAUGCAGCGAUGCCGCGUGAGUGAAGAAGGCCCUUGGGUUGUAAAGCUCUUUCGUCGGGGAAGAAAAUGACUGUACCCGAAUAAGAAGGUCCGGCUAACUUCGUGCCAGCAGCCGCGGUAAUACGAAGGGACCUAGCGUAGUUCGGAAUUACUGGGCUUAAAGAGUUCGUAGGUGGUUGAAGAAGUUGGUGGUGAAAUCCCAGAGCUUAACUCUGGAACUGCCAUCAAAACUUUUCAGCUAGAGUAUGAUAGAGGAAAGCAGAAUUUCUAGUGUAGAGGUGAAAUUCGUAGAUAUUAGAAAGAAUACCAAUUGCGAAGGCAGCUUUCUGGAUCAUUACUGACACUGAGGAACGAAAGCAUGGGUAGCGAAGAGGAUUAGAUACCCUCGUAGUCCAUGCCGUAAACGAUGUGUGUUAGACGUUGGAAAUUUAUUUUCAGUGUCGCAGUGAAAACGAUAAACACACCGCCUGGGGAGUACGACCGCAAGGUUAAAACUCAAAUGAAUUGACGGGGACCCGCACAAGUAGUGGAGCACGUGGUUUAAUUCGAAGAUACGCGCAGAACCUUACCAACACUUGACAUGUUCGUCGCGACUUUAAGAGAUUAAAGUUUU
Molecule: ribosomal RNA, 915 nt
Filed under: uncultured marine bacterium
Lineage: Bacteria
Description: bacterial SSU rRNA
Rfam family: Bacterial small subunit ribosomal RNA
Source: RNAcentral